UUUGGAGAAGACGAUGAUGGCGUCGGACCGUCGGUUACUUCGUGUCAUGAAAGGGCAUUUUUGUUCACAAAUACCCUCUUAUUUUACGCUAUAGCGACUGCUUAGUUUUGGCAAUUAUAACUCAAUGGACGGGGGGAAAGGAUUCUGUACUAAAGAGAAAAAUACGUGCAGUCAUUGACUUAAUACUGUGAUGUUUAUAUUUUGAAAGACGGCCGGAAAUUUCGCUACAUGAUACAUCGCUGUACUGGAUUAUAAAAAAUUCUACUGGAAAUUCGACAAUGGAUAUAACAGAGACCACGCUUGAAUGAAAGAAUGGUAAGUUUUUUUAAAGCGUUUUCACUUUUCCGUAAUAUUUUUUAGUUCACUGUAAAGCUCUUCAGCCUCUUCUCUCGAAGCCAAUACUUCGGUAGACUGGUAGAGUCAGCACGCAAUUGUGGCUAGCCUUGUUUUAUACAUCUCGUUGCUUCCCAUUUCACAUCUCUACGUAUAAAAUCACAUGCCUAUAAGUAGUUUUUCUUUGUUUAUAGAAUUUAAUAUACGACUUUGGAACAAAUUAAUUUAAUUAGAGAUGCUGUAUUUAAAAGUCCGUAUUAAAUGUAUAAUUAUGUAAACAAAAUGGAACGCUUUGUUUACAUUUUGAACUGCUAUAUAGCGUAUAUUUGUAAAAUAUGAUAUACAACUGAAUAUCUAUAAACACAUUUCUGGUUUGCUAUGCAUGUAAAUGAAUUAUAUAUUCAAAAAAGUUCGAAAGACGAAAGAUUCAAAAUUUGGGUACUGUUUAUAUCUGUGGGACUUCCCAUUAUAUUUUUGUAUCUGCGAAGCAGAUAUAUAUGCUAUCGCAAACGUACCGUACUGUUACCGUACCGUACCGUACCGUACCGUAUGUUAACAGAUAGCCAUUCAGCGACGAGCUUAUAUAAUUUAAGACAAUUUAAGCCAAUCAGUGAUUCGUUUACAUCGAUUGUUUACAUCGUGCCCGCAUCUAACCUGCGAACGGGCAUACUUUAGCCUCGUCAGGCCUCGUGUAUAAAUCGUGUUAUAUUCUUUCAAAAAUAUCUUGAUAUUUUUAUCAAUUUAUCUUGAAUUGGCUGUCUUUUUUUUAUUCCGAAGUUAUUUAUCAACAUGGAAUCUUAUCCUCAUCUGGUAAGUAGUCAAAUACCACAUAUUAUAUAUUUAAAUACCAAAUUUGUGCAAAUAUAUGUCCCACAUAUUUUACAAUAUAUGAGUUCGCCAGUUCGGCAAAUAUUUACUAUACUAUCUAUAGUUAAAUAUUGCCGUAUCUUCGGCGUAGAGUUUACAUGGAAUGCACUCUGGAAUUUUUUAUUAAUAUAUUACACUGUAUAAAAUAUUGGAUAUUUUCGAGGAUAUUUUAAGCCAUUUAUCAACAUAGUUCACAAAAAGAUUUAUACAGUAUUAAAAACAAUCCUUCUGUGACUUCUGUAAUAUUUUAAACAGUGAAAACAUUCUCAGGAGAUAUUGAAUUAAAUCCUGGUCCUGUAUUUCUGUAUAUUGACUACUCCAUAACUCUGUUCAAAACAACAGUCCAACUAUAAAGCUGUCAUCAAAUGUAGUGUUAGAGCAAAGGUUGAAGAUGUUAUCAGUUAAAAUACUUAUGCAUUUUGGUUUUACACAUUAGAGUUAAUUAAACAAAAUUUUUACAAACAUUUUCAAAUAAAAGAAUCCUCACCCUCCCGAGCCUCAUUACAUUGUCAUUUUGCUUUCUAACAUAAAUAUUUUUCUUUAGAGAUUAAUACAAGAAUGAAGAAUGAAUGUGCUGGAUAUUGGCUGGAUAAUUUUGUCAGAACAACCAACUUGCAAGACAAUCUUACCUAAAUUCAUUGUUAUGGAAAAAAACUUAACAGCUACAAUGAGUAAUCAUAUAUAUUAUAUGGUGGAUUUGAUCAAUGGCACACAAUGUACAAAACUAAACUUGUGAUACCUUCUACUCAAACCGAUAAUCUCCCACAACACGAUUGUUUUUGUGUGAAUGUGUUGUACGUGUUAAGCCGAACAGUGUGGUAUAUCAUUAACUGUGCACAGAACUGGAAUUUAAUUAUACACUUCACUCAUGACCUUCAAAACAUUCUCAAUUAUUCAGUGGUCUUCGACAUGUUCACCAAAUAUUUUGUGUAUGUUACUCAACAGUUAACAUUGGCAAGUGUAAACAACAAGUGACAUAACUUUUGCUUCAUAUGAUUACAAUAAAGUUUUGAAAAUUUGAUGAGUAUGGAUUGAAUUGACAGGUGACAGUUUACUAAAUAGCUGGCUGUAUAGACACUUUGAAUAUUGUUUGCAUGAAAUUUUUAUUUCCUGACUGCAUAAUUAUCUGUUACAAUCAUAAUCACAUUAUAAAGUUAGUUAAAUUUUCUCGGUGGGGGGGUGGGGGGGGGUGGUUGUGGUUGUACUUGCCCUGCUGCACUCCCCGCUGUGUACAGCCCUGUUUUAAAUCUUAUCUGCCAUUAUAAUAAGUGAUGAAAUAUUUCAAUUGUCCCAUGUCAUCUUCAUUAUUCAGUUUCUUUCAAGAAAAUACAAAAUGUGAAUCAAGUUUUUUCGCAGAUACAUGUACGCGGUCGCGUACCUAUUUUUAUUUCUUUCUGUGCAAAUUUUUGUCUUGUUAAGUCCUGAUUCCACGGGCGCUUUUUCUUGGCGAAAUGCGAAAUAUUUCGCCUGUUUCUUUUGAAUUGUGAUCAAUCAAGUAGAAAUAAUUUAUUCGAGUAGUCGCAAUUCAAAAGAAACAGGCGAAAUAUUUCGCAUUUCGCCGAGAAAAAGCGCUCGUGGAAUCAGGCCUUUAUGUUUCAAAUAUGUAAUAUUAAAUGAUAAUUUAAAGUCACCAAACAUGACAAAAUACUUUUCUUUAUGUAAAGUCUGAUCUGUGCAUCAGUUCUGCUUAUGAGCAGAACUGAUGCACUUUAUUUAUUUACUUUGCCAUUAUCAUGCAUUCAUGCCAGGAUCACCACAACAGUAUGGUACCAAUUACUGUGGGCCCUUUGAAUAGAUAAUAAAACACAACAAAAACUUCAAUUUACCUGUUCUAUUUGCAUUUAAGCACAAACCGCAAACAUUUUCGCGCGUUUUUUAUGUUUGAAAAUGGGGUGUUUAUCGUUGGAAACUGAAAUGUGUAUUCACCUCUCAUGUGACGUGUCACAGUGAAAAGCCUUCAGCUAUUUUUGGUGCAGCUGUCAUGUUUUGAUGUGCCUCCGUGCAUGUUUCAAUAUUUCCAAGCCCAUGAUACUAUGUUGUAUAGUCACAAAAAGUAUGAAUGUAAACAAGUUUGGUCGCUCUUACAAUAUUGUGAGCUUGGAAUGAAAAAUAACUGAAUUAGGCUUUGCACUGUAACAUUUCACGGUGAAUACAACUGAAAUCAGUUUUCAAUGGUAAAUGCCCUGUUUCAAACGUAAAAAAAUGUUUGUGGUUUGUGCUUGAAUGCAAAUAGCUGUAAGCAAACAAAUUCCUUGAUGUUUCCAUUGUAUUGUAUUUCACAAACAUACUUCAUUAGCGGCUUGCAAAUUUUAUAAAACAUAUAACAAUUCAUCAAAAUAUCAAAGCUCAGUGCAUGGGUUCUAUAACAAUGUCUUGAAAUCACUGAUCUCUUUAUGUACAGUAUAAACAAGGCUAGGAAGACCUGACAACAUAAAAAUACAAACUAUCAUUACAGUCAAAUCCGGCAUUCUAUUGCCACGCAAUAUUGCAAUAUUGAUUAGCUGAUUGCUCUAGCAAAUUGCAAGUUUUACAUACAGUUGCAAUUAUUGGGUGUGUUGCCAAUUUGUCGAGAGGUGUGCCCAAGUGUCAGAUGCCUUGUUUUGUACCGGUAAGCCAUGCAAUCAGGCUUUACAUGUAUUUACAAUUUGCUAGAGCAAUCAGCCAAUCAAUAUUGCAAUACUGUGCUGCAAAUAUGUUGCCCGCAACGGCACACCAAAUUUGACUGUAAUUGAUAAGAGGAAUCGUUUCCAACAAUUUUCAGAAAUUUUGAAUGAGUAGUUUGAGGCGGUUUUUGAUUUUUUUAAAUAUUUCCUGAGGUCUCCUUUGCUAAGCCUAGGGUACCUGUGGUCCCUUUGCAUUUUACUGAAAAUUUACCCAUUCAGCUUAGUGCUUGGGCAUUCAAAUUCUAACAAUACAUGACACCCUGUAUAUCUCAUUUUGUUGAACUGAAUAUAUUAAUGAAUUGGCCUAUUGUAGCAUGUGUAUUAAGCUUUUGAGCAAUAGCAAUCACGUUUCAAUACAGAAACCAUGCAAUUCAAAAGAUGGGUGCAAACACAAUAUUGUUUCCUGAUGUGCAGACUGACUUUUCCCCCCUUUAAAGUCAGGCUGCAUGCAGGCUAGUAAUUCUUUUGAUGAGAGGAAAUGUUUUCUUCAAUUUUCAGAAAUUUUGGUCUAGUUUGAGGCAGUUUUUUAGUGUUUUUGAAAUAUUUCCUGUGGUCCCGCCUUUGCUAAGCCGUAAAGGUAGCAAUUGUGGCCCCCCUUUGCAUUUGAAAAAUUUCCUGACAUGUGUUGCACCUUUCUUAAGUCUAUGGUACCUGUGGUCCCCUUUCCAUUUGACCAAAAUUUUUGUAAAACUUGUUUUCAUUGAUCAAAAGUAAUUCUUUUGAUGAAAGGAAAUGUUUUCGACAAUUUUCAGAAAGUUUGGACUAGUUUGAAUUAGUUUUGGUAUUUUUGAAAAAUUUCCUGUGGUUCCCCCUUUGCCAUGCCUAAGGGAAGGUCAAGUUUUAAGUGGUAAUGGACGACCCUACUUUUUCAUUUUACUUUGUCUAAUGGCAGACAGUUUUACUUGUCAAAUGGAGAGUGCUGACUGCUGACACUCAAUGGGUUAAUCUGCCCAUGCAUCGAUCUUGUUUUAAUUCUUUAUUAAAGUUGGAAAGCGCCAUUCUUUAUUAUUUUACUCUGUCUAAUGACAGAUGAUUUUACUUGUCAAGUGAAGGGUGUUGACACACAUCGGUUAAGAUAUAGAUUCAUCUGUACACUCAAAUUAGUUUGCAUGGAAAAUGUCUAUUCCCAUAUUGAUUAAAUUUUCAAAUUUUAUCCUAGCUAAAUCACUUCAAACAAAACAUGUUGUACAAAAUUUAAAAAUCUCUAUGAAAUACGAAGAGGGGGCCACAGGCAUCCACACAGAUUUAAAAUUUUUCAAACCAUUGAUUCAAUCUAAGGUGUCAUAUGAACUGAAUAUAAUGUUUUCUUUUCCAGGCAAGACAGAUCAACAUGGAUAAUGUUUUGAUGCUUUAUGAAAGUGACAUGUUUUCUAAGAACAGAUUUGUGCAUGGCAAGAAAAGAAAGCUUAUCAUUCAGACAUUAUGAGAAGCCCUAAGAAUGUGAACAUAUAAGAUAAUGAAUGGAGGACAUCAAUCUGAGGCAUGGAGAACUAAAACCUAACAAACCUUACCAGAUUAGGUAUUAUACAAACUAUAACUUUAUUUCUGUAUAUGAUAAUUAAUGCAUUUAUUUACCAUAUUUCAAAUAAAAAGUGGAAAAUCAGC
This 5468-nucleotide long non-coding RNA is filed under the name Paramuricea clavata. Lineage: Eukaryota; Metazoa; Cnidaria; Anthozoa; Malacalcyonacea; Plexauridae. The record is from RNAcentral.